ACGGAAGGCAUCAGUGUUUCAUAUUGGGCAAUGGGCGAAAGCCUGACCCAGCAACGCCGCGUGAAGGAAGAAGGCCUUCGGGUUGUAAACUUCUUUUAUCAGGGACGAAGGAAGUGACGGUACCUGAUGAAUAAGCCACGGCUAACUACGUGCCAGCAGCCGCGGUAAUACGUAGGUGGCAAGCGUUAUCCGGAUUUACUGGGUGUAAAGGGCGCGUAGGCGGGGAUGCAAGUCAGAUGUGAAAUCUAUGGGCUUAACCCAUAAACUGAAUUUGAAACUGUAUCUCUUGAGUGUCGGAGAGGUAGAUGGAAUUCCUAGUGUAGCGGUGAAAUGCGUAGAUAUUAGGAGGAACACCAGCGGCGAAGGCUAUCUACUGGACGAUAACUGACGCUGAGGCGCGAAAGCGUGGGGAGCAAACAGGAUUAGAUACCCUGGUA
This 437-nucleotide ribosomal RNA is filed under the name uncultured Oscillospiraceae bacterium. Its description in RNAcentral is "partial 16S ribosomal RNA". It matches the Rfam family "Bacterial small subunit ribosomal RNA", at positions 341 to 792 of the family's 1533-position model. The record is from RNAcentral. Lineage: Bacteria; Bacillati; Bacillota; Clostridia; Eubacteriales; Oscillospiraceae.